GAUGAACGCUGGCGGCGUGCCUAAUACAUGCAAGUCGAGCGAACAGACGAGGAGCUUGCUCCUCUGACGUUAGCGGCGGACGGGUGAGUAACACGUGGAUAACCUACCUAUAAGACUGGGAUAACUUCGGGAAACCGGAGCUAAUACCGGAUAAUAUAUUGAACCGCAUGGUUCAAUAGUGAAAGACGGUUUUGCUGUCACUUAUAGAUGGAUCCGCGCCGCAUUAGCUAGUUGGUAAGGUAACGGCUUACCAAGGCAACGAUGCGUAGCCGACCUGAGAGGGUGAUCGGCCACACUGGAACUGAGACACGGUCCAGACUCCUACGGGAGGCAGCAGUAGGGAAUCUUCCGCAAUGGGCGAAAGCCUGACGGAGCAACGCCGCGUGAGUGAUGAAGGUCUUCGGAUCGUAAAACUCUGUUAUUAGGGAAGAACAAAUGUGUAAGUAACUGUGCACGUCUUGACGGUACCUAAUCAGAAAGCCACGGCUAACUACGUG
RNAcentral lists this ribosomal RNA (497 nucleotides) under uncultured bacterium. RNAcentral describes it as "partial 16S ribosomal RNA". It matches the Rfam family "Bacterial small subunit ribosomal RNA", at positions 28 to 507 of the family's 1533-position model. The record is from RNAcentral.